AUGACUAGGGAUAACCUUAGGAAGAGACACAUCAUCAAACCCCUUGAUUGUGUUUACUACUUGGAACAAGAGUCUUGUUCUCACCUAUUUUUUGAAUGUAUAGUUGCUAAACAUCUCUGGGCCCACAUUGAGGAAUAUUUCUCUAGUCAGAUUGGCUCAUCCUUCGAAUCUGUCGCCAGAUUCUGGAUUGCUACCAAAAAGUGCUCAGUUUUAAAUAUUGUUAGCUCAGCUGUCCUUUGGUGCCUCUGGAAAUAUAGAAAUGCUAUGAUUUUCAGUAACACCUCCUGGAUUUCCAUUCCGCAGGUCUUGAGGUUGAUCAGGAACAUGGUGAGGAACUGGGCGAUUCUCUCCUCCGGAUCGGAUAAGGACAAGUUGAUGAGCUUCGUGGAAACCCUAACAAGAUCCCUCCAGAAACCGUUGGCGAUCACUUGUGGCUGA
Molecule: ribosomal RNA, 438 nt
Filed under: Triticum aestivum (bread wheat)
Lineage: Eukaryota; Viridiplantae; Streptophyta; Magnoliopsida; Poales; Poaceae
Description: partial small subunit ribosomal RNA
Source: RNAcentral